AGCGAACGCUGGCGGCAGGCUUAACACAUGCAAGUCGAGCGGGCACUUUCGGGUGUCAGCGGCGGACGGGUGAGUAACGCGUGGGAAUGUGCCCUCUGGUUCGGAAUAACUCAGGGAAACUUGAGCUAAUACCGGAUACGCCCGUUUGGGGAAAGGCUUGCUGCCGGAGGAUCGGCCCGCGUCUGAUUAGCUAGUUGGUGAGGUAACGGCUCACCAAGGCGACGAUCAGUAGCUGGUCUGAGAGGAUGAUCAGCCACACUGGGACUGAGACACGGCCCAGACUCCUACGGGAGGCAGCAGUGGGGAAUAUUGGACAAUGGGCGCAAGCCUGAUCCAGCCAUGCCGCGUGAGUGAUGAAGGCCUUAGGGUUGUAAAGCUCUUUUAUCCGGGACGAUAAUGACGGUACCGGAGGAAUAAGCCCCGGCUAACUUCGUG
RNAcentral lists this ribosomal RNA (435 nucleotides) under uncultured bacterium. RNAcentral describes it as "partial 16S ribosomal RNA". It matches the Rfam family "Bacterial small subunit ribosomal RNA", at positions 29 to 507 of the family's 1533-position model. The record is from RNAcentral.